This is a non-coding RNA of Oncorhynchus mykiss (rainbow trout), 554 nucleotides long. Lineage: Eukaryota; Metazoa; Chordata; Actinopteri; Salmoniformes; Salmonidae. The record is from RefSeq and is a predicted model, not a curated record.
UAUGUCUGCGCAAUCUCCAUAUCAAUAGUCACAGCAAGUCGGGUUGCAAAAAAUGGUGUCAGCCUUCUCUUCUGAUCCAAUUUCGCACUGGUAUUGCUCAGCCACAAGCUCUGGGCAUGCUCUGCCUUUUUCCUUUACUUCAUGACUAUUCUUUAGGCCUAUUCAGUUUUAAUUAUUUAGCCAACCCCACCCACCGUAGCCUAUAUCUAGUUUAUAUUAUUCUUUCUAACAUUAGAAUAUGUAGUUCCUAUUUUGAAGGAGUUCAAAUGUAUUAAGAUGGUGGGGGUUCUUGCAGGAACCUAAUUGCCCAACUAAAACAUUUGCAUUUGAAUUUGAAAGGACAGUAGGUGCAGGCACUUAACUGGAAAAUGUAAAGCUCUCCUCAAUUUAAGAAAAUGGAAACAAUUCAAGGAUGUCAAUCAACAAAGAGGUAUACAGACAGGGGGCUCACAAGGUAUGUCUAUUGGUAUUUGUAUGUGAUGCAGAUCACAUGUACCAUCCUCCUCCCUUACCACUUCAAUGAAUACCCCAUAGGCCUCUACAUUAUGUACAAG